UCUUCUCUUUUGUUCAGAUGCCGUCAACCUGGAACCACGCGGAGCCUGAACGGGGUUUUACCGGCCGUCGUGGAAUUCAAACACGGAGGCUCCCACGGCAACGACCCAGCGGCCGCCUACAGCGACGCAAAGCAGGGGAGGCAGAUGUACGUCUCCUCAGCAGCUGAGGAGAGGAAAGAGUCUGCCGAGGAGGAAGAGGAGGAGGAGGAUGAGGAGGAAGACAGGGAGGAGGAGGAGGAGCAGAGACCCUUGUGUUCUGGUGUCCUGGGCUACCCGGUGGUUAGGGACCACACUCUGGGCCUCGGACUGAGCAGCACACCAGAUGAACCGGCUGGAGACAACACGCACAACCAGGAAUAUAAAGAGCUCCACGUGGACGAGUGGGUCCACCAGCACCCCGGCGACAGCAUGGAGGAGUUGGCCCAGUGUCAGGAGACGCCAGCCGGGGAGGAGGACAGUGAUACGGAUCUCACCUAUGGAGAGGUGGAGCAACGGCUGGACCUGCUGCAGCAACACCUGAACAGACUGGAGUCCCAGAUGACUGCAGACAUCCAGGGCCAUCCUGCAGCUCCUCCAGCGACAGACCACGGCCGGCCCCC
Amphiprion ocellaris (clown anemonefish) is the source of this 599-nucleotide long non-coding RNA. The record is from Ensembl. Lineage: Eukaryota; Metazoa; Chordata; Actinopteri; Pomacentridae.